Molecule: ribosomal RNA, 771 nt
Filed under: uncultured marine thaumarchaeote
Lineage: Archaea; Thermoproteati; Nitrososphaerota
Description: bacterial SSU rRNA
Rfam family: Archaeal small subunit ribosomal RNA
Source: RNAcentral
AGUCAACUUACCCUAUGGACGAGGAUAAUCUCGGGAAACUGAGCAUAAUACUCGAUAGAUCAUAAUGCCUGGAAUGGUUUAUGGUUGAAAUGAUUCAUCGCCAUAGGAUGGGACUGCGGCCUAUCAGCUUGUUGGUGAGGUAAUGGCCCACCAAGGCGAUUACAGGUACGGGCUCUGAGAGGAGAAGCCCGGAGAUGGGUACUGAGACAAGGACCCAGGCCCUAUGGGGCGCAGCAGGCGAGAAAACUUUGCAAUGUGCGAAAGCACGACAAGGUUAAUCCGAGUGAUUUCUGCUAAAGAAAUCUCUUGCAAGUCAUAAAACCACUAGUGAAUAAGGGGUGGGCAAGUUCUGGUGUCAGCCGCCGCGGUAAAACCAGCACCUCAAGUGGUCAGGAGGAUUAUUGGGCCUAAAGCAUCCGUAGCCGGCUCUGUAAGUUUUCGGUUAAAUCCAUGUGCUCAACGCAUGGGCUGCCGAAAAUACUGCAUAGCUAGGGAGUGGGAGAGGUAGACGGUACUCGGUAGGAAGGGGUAAAAUCCUUUGAUCUAUCGAUGACCACCUGUGGCGAAGGCGGUCUACCAGAACACGUUCGACGGUGAGGGAUGAAAGCUGGGGGAGCAAACCGGAUUAGAUACCCGGGUAGUCCCAGCUGUAAACGAUGCAGACUCGAUGAUGCAUUGACAUAUAGCCAGUGCAGUGUCGCAGGGAAGCCGUUAAGUCUGCCGCCUGGGAAGUACGUACGCAAGUAUGAAACUUAAAGGAAUUGGCGGGGG